Molecule: ribosomal RNA, 254 nt
Filed under: uncultured bacterium
Lineage: Bacteria
Description: partial 16S ribosomal RNA
Rfam family: Bacterial small subunit ribosomal RNA
Source: RNAcentral
CGGAGGGCGCGAGCGUUAUCCGGAUUUACUGGGCGUAAAGGGCGUGUAGGCGGCUUGGGGCGUCCCAUGUGAAAGACCACGGCUCAACCGUGGGGGAGCGUGGGAUACGCUCAGGCUAGACGGCGGGAGGGGGUGGUGGAAUUCCCGGAGUAGCGGUGAAAUGCGCAGAUACCGGGAGGAACGCCGAUGGCGAAGGCGGCCACCUGGCUCGUUCGUGACGCUGAGGCGCGAAAGCGUGGGGAGCAAACCGGAUU